RNAcentral lists this ribosomal RNA (242 nucleotides) under uncultured bacterium. Its description in RNAcentral is "partial 16S ribosomal RNA". It matches the Rfam family "Bacterial small subunit ribosomal RNA", at positions 15 to 252 of the family's 1533-position model. The record is from RNAcentral.
GAUCCUGGCUCAGGACGAACGCUGGCGGCGCGCCUAACACAUGCAAGUCGAACGAGCGAGAGAGAGCUUGCUUUCUUGAACGAGUGGCGAACGGGUGAGUAACGCGUGAGGAACCUGCCUCAAAGAGGGGGACAACAGUUGGAAACGACUGCUAAUACCGCAUAAGCCCACAGGUCGGCAUCGACCAGAGGGAAAAGGAGCAAUCCGCUUUGAGAUGGCCUCGCGUCCGAUUAGCUAGUUGG